RNAcentral lists this unclassified non-coding RNA (342 nucleotides) under soil metagenome. RNAcentral's name for it is "partial contains 5.8S ribosomal RNA, internal transcribed spacer 2, and large subunit ribosomal RNA". The stretch from base 1 to 120 matches the Rfam family "5.8S ribosomal RNA", at positions 35 to 154 of the family's 154-position model. The record is from RNAcentral.
GAUGAAGAACGCAGCGAAACGCGAUAAGUAAUGUGAAUUGCAGAAUCCAGUGAAUCAUCGAAUCUUUGAACGCACAUUGCGCCCGCCAGCAUUCUGGCGGGCAUGCCUGUUCGAGCGUCAUUUCAACCCUCGACCUCCCCUUGGGGAGGUCGGCGUUGGGGACCGGCAGCACACCGCCGGCCCUGAAAUGGAGUGCGGCCCGUCCGCGGCGACCUCUGCGCAGUAAUACAGCUCGCACCGGGACCCCGACGCGGCCACGCCGUAAAACACCCAACUUCUGAACGUUGACCUCGAAUCAGGUAGGACUACCCGCUGAACUUAAGCAUAUCAAUAAGCGGAGGA